UCCCUGGUGGUCCAGUGGCUAAGACUCCGCAUUCUUGAUGCAGAGGAGCCAGGUUCGAUCCCUGGUCAGGGAA
This is a non-coding RNA of Balaenoptera acutorostrata (minke whale), 73 nucleotides long. The record is from the annotation of a RefSeq genome assembly. NCBI's taxonomy places the organism in Eukaryota, Metazoa, Chordata, Mammalia, Artiodactyla, Balaenopteridae.